CAGGGGGUAGUUUAUUUAAAACGCUAGUUUUGGGGAUUAGAGAUAGGGGCUACUUUCUUCCUGA
This 64-nucleotide transfer RNA is filed under the name Palaemon longirostris. Its description in RNAcentral is "tRNA-Pro". Lineage: Eukaryota; Metazoa; Arthropoda; Malacostraca; Decapoda; Palaemonidae. The record is from RNAcentral.